UCAACAACAACCGCUUCGAGGUGAGCCACGUCCACAAGGUGGAGUGUGUGGUACCGUGGCUGAACGACACGCUGGUGUUCUUCACUAUCUCUCUGCAGCUCUGCCAGCAGCUAAAGGACAAGAUCUCUGUCUUCUCCAGCUUCUGGAACUACAGGCCGUUCUGAGCCUCUUCGUGCCGACCUCUUUCUUUGUUAUACACAGUACAUAUACACAUAUAUAUAUAUAUAUAUAUAUAUCAUGCAUUCAUUCAGCUUCAAGUGUUGCAUGGUCAGUGAAGGAGCCAAUCAAACCCACAGAUAUCAAUAUUCACACGGUGUUAGCCAGGCUGACUGAAAUUUGUGUGUGUGUGUGUGUGUGUGUGUGUGUGUGUGUGUGUGUGUGUGUGUGUGUGUGUGUGUGUGUGUGUGUGUGUGUGUGUGUGUGCGCUCUCACAGCACUGACUGGAACAUCUCAAUGAAUGAAUGAAUGGAAGCAUGAAUGAGAUUGUUGUUAGAAUGAAUUUAUAAUGAUGUGUGAGUGAGUAUUCCUCCUCCUAGCUGUGUCACUGUGUGCAGCACUCAGGGCGGGAACACAAAGCAGUUCUAGGAGGUCAAUUUUUGUUUGAUUUUAUAAUAUAAUGGUACUCUCUUGAAAAGGCCCUCCACCAAUGUCACAACCCAAAACUAUCAGGCUAUUAAUACUAAGCCAGGUGUUAUCAUGAGUUAUCUGUGGGUGAGCUCUCAUGGUCCAGCUCUGGUCUAAGUCUAUGGAUGAGGCACUAAACUGUGUGUAAAUGCUUCACUAAACAUCAUGAGAACAUUGUCACCUCUCAGCGGUCACAUAUUAUGAAGUGGGAGUUAGAAGAAGAAGAAGCUUCUGUCUGUCCAAAUAUCAAAAAGCCAAAGUGUGUUCAUGCUGCUAACAUCAGCUGUUGCUCACUCACAUCAAGAACACAAGGCUCCCCAUCUACAGAAGCCUUUCAGCUCACACUUGAAGAGCAUGCUUGUAUAUGAUCCGCUUCAGACUGGAUCACCACCAACAAACGGCUGAGAAGGACUUUGUGACAGAGCCUAGAUGAUGCAGCUUUGAAAAUGCCUUUAGUUUGUAUUUGUAGACCACUAACUCCUAAUAAACAGUGUGUGUCAGGAACUCAAAGGGUCAAAGUGGGCAUUCACUUGGAAUGAGGAUUAAUCAAAAGAUUUUUUUGAGUUUUCUGUAACAUAAAUGACAGACUCAGUCAGGAUGUUUCAGCCGCUACAGCACAGAUGUGUUCUGUCUGCAAGUCCCCCGACUUUAUGGAUACAAACAAUCAGUCAUCUCCAGUACACCCAGCUGUGAUGUUAGUCAAUUGAGUCCAUGAUUAAAGCACUGGGUGUCUAACGUGAGGAAUGCAGAGUGUUGCAAUAGAAAGUGUUAUCUGAGGGGAUGGAGGGUCAUAGUGUGUGUGAGUAUUGAUGGUGUUGAAUAUGUUGUAGACAGAUGAUAGAGUAGAUCAGUCCUCAGAGGGGCAGCUCCAAAGCCCCCCUCAGACACUGAUGUUAAACAUCUCAUGUCAGCAUAUCCUUAAGUUCUUUUAUAUUUGUUUUUCCAGCAUGUCAUUGUUGGAUUUUUUGAUGAUUGAUUAUUGCCCCACUUGGUGGAACUGACACAACUCACAUUCCUGUUUGUUUCAAUGAUAAGCUACCUGUGUGAUGUCAUCUUUGUUUCUGUUGAUUUCACAUGUUGUGCACUUGAUGUUGUUGAUUCCCUGUGAACACUGAUCCAAUCAUGAACAAAUGACUUCAUUCCAGUAAGUGUUAAACUAUCUUAAAAAGCUGCCUAUCAUAAUAUCAAUAAAAAGAUUCUAAAGGAUAA
This is a long non-coding RNA of Notothenia coriiceps (black rockcod), 1833 nucleotides long. RefSeq lists it as uncharacterized. NCBI's taxonomy places the organism in Eukaryota, Metazoa, Chordata, Actinopteri, Perciformes, Nototheniidae. The transcript has 2 exons. The record is from RefSeq and is a predicted model, not a curated record.